This 76-nucleotide transfer RNA is filed under the name Clostridiaceae bacterium. RNAcentral describes it as "tRNA-Asp". It matches the Rfam family "tRNA". From Rfam's summary of the family: Transfer RNA (tRNA) molecules are approximately 80 nucleotides in length. Their secondary structure includes four short double-helical elements and three loops (D, anti-codon, and T loops). The record is from RNAcentral. Lineage: Bacteria; Bacillati; Bacillota; Clostridia; Eubacteriales; Clostridiaceae.
GGCUCCGUAGCACAGCGGCUAAUGCACCGGACUGUCUCUCCGGGUAUCACGGGUUCGAGUCCCGUCGGAGUCGCCA